Non-coding RNA from Sus scrofa (pig), 2655 nucleotides. NCBI's taxonomy places the organism in Eukaryota, Metazoa, Chordata, Mammalia, Artiodactyla, Suidae. The record is from the annotation of a RefSeq genome assembly.
AAAGAGAAGCUAUCAGAGGAAUUUCCCAACCCAGGCAAUUCAAAUCCACCUUCUCUCAGAAAUUCUACAAGGAAAAAAAAAAAAAAGAAUCUCCAUCAGGGAUGAAGGGAGACUGGGGCUGCAGACACUCAGGGGCAGUGACAUCACAGGCAAAGCCACCAACCAGGGAGGAGGAGACCAGAGACCAACCCCCUUGCCCAGGGCAUCCUAGUUUGUUGAGGCCACUUUGCCCUGCCUCUGCCAUGUGCCUCGGGGUGCUCUGCCCUGCGGUCCUCUGUCUCCUGGGAGCAGUCUCUGUGGACACUGGAGUUACUCAAACACCCAGAUACCUGGUCCUGGGAACGAGAGAUAAGAGAUCUUUGACUUGUGAACAAGAUCUGGGACAUAAUGCUAUGUACUGGUAUAAACAGAGUGCUCAGAAGCCACCGGAGCUCAUGUUCACCUGUAACUACGAAGACCGCACUGGAAAUGAGUCUGUUCCGAGUCGCUUCAGUCCUAAAUGCCCAGAGAACUCCCCCCUUUACCUGCACGUGGACGCCCUGAAACCAGAAGACUCGGCCGUGUAUCUCUGCGCCAGCAGUAGAGACACAGCCCUGCAGAGCCAGCCGCUUCCUCUGCACAAACCUUGAGCACCCAGCCAGGAGGCUGUGGGGCCAACCAAGGUCGGUUCCCCAUUUCCUGGAAGACCCUCAAUGGAAAGCUCAGACCCUGAGACCGCCUGCGGGCUCAUGGCCAUGGCUCUUCUGAGUUCCAUCACAGCCACCAGCCACCUGUCCUGAGCAAGACUGGGCCUGCAGCUGAAUGUAGGACGAUGUUCAAGUCUAUCCCACGCAUUUUCCAAUUGGCUGGCCUCCCCGGAAAGCCUUUUGGGAGACACUUGACCCUCUGUCCUCCCAGUCCUGCUUCCAAUAGGUGCCUGUCUCUGACUUCUUCCGUCCAAGUUCGGCCAGGUUCUCAGAUCUGACCCCAGCCACACAUAUGCGCAGACACUUUUCAAAGCGCCUCAUUCCCUCAGCAGGGGCUCUGUCCUUUCCAGCCCCUGAGGACCACAGAUCCCCCAUCUGGUCCCUGCGUCUCAAGUUCAUGCUGCUGCACGUCCAGGGGCUCGGUACCUCACAGGCUCCUCUUCCACUCAACACUGCCUUUCAGGCUUGGUCCUUGGUCCUCCUGUCUCUUUAACCCUAGUUCUUCAGGGCUUCCCAUCCUGCAUUAUCAGCCAUAGGGUCUGCUGCCCUUGCGAAGCCCUGCUCACACCAGCCAGUGAGAAGGGAUGGCCUCCUGACAUUUCAGUUCAGACCUUUGUGCUCAGAGCUGUCCCGGCUGAACCCCGUAUCUUCGGGCUCUGCUCCCUGUAAUGGGCAUCAGGCCAGUGCACACCAGCAGCCAAGGGCUGGCAGAGCCCUGCAUCCCUUCCUGGAAGCUCACCUGUCUGCAUCUGUACCAGGCUCCCGCCUUCCCCCUGAGAGGGCACUCCAGGCUCCCCUGACCAUCAUACUGGGGCACUCCAAGCCCCAAACCAUCAUACUGGGGACCAGGUCAAGGGGAAUGCAACUCUGCCUUAGGAGUGUGGGUUUCCCUUCACCUGAGCAUGACCCUGCUCUGUCAACUUCUAUAAAGAUAAGCACAUUGAGGUCUAGUGGUUUUAAGGCCUUACUUACUGCCAAAUACCCAAGCCUGUGUCAAGCGGAAUGUCUAUAUUCACCAAUUCCAGGGUUCUCUAAUCCAGCUUGUGUGUUUUCUGAGUUCUCAUUUUCCCACUCAAGGCUAGAGCAACCCCUUCCCUGAUCAGAGCCCAAAUCUGCACAGACACUUGCUCUCAACCCCAGAGGCAGCCAAUGAGCCUCUGAGUCCCUCUGUUCAGGGCACUGGGCUGGGUACCUACUUUCGCAUCUGUUCUCCUUCCCUGGCACUGAAACGUCCCUUUAGGGGUCGGGUCUCAGCCUCUCACUGGCGUUCCUCUCCACAUGACACUGGUGCCUGAACCUGGCCUCUGCUCACAGGUGCUGAACAGAAACACAGAGAGUUUAGGGUGAAAGAGAAAAGAUAGCUCUAUUGCUCUAGCAGCCAAAGGAGAGUCACAGCAGCCUAAGGCCUCAAAGACUGAGUCAGACUUAGGGGAGAUUGGGAGCUGGUUCUAUGGUUUGGGGAAUGCAGAACAGGGCCAGAGAUAAGGGUCAGGGGAGAGGCAAGCUUGCAUUAGUUCCAAAGCUGGGGUUCAGUGGCCUGGUGGACUUCUUUCCCUAUUGGAGAGGCUUCCUUAUCAUCUUCCAUUUGAGGGGGUGAGAAAGCACACUGAGAAUUUGAGACACCCACCUCUGAGGGCGAGGCAGGCAGGGAGGCGAUCAGCUGCCCUGCGUGUUGUGGUACACCUGCUACCUGGGGCAUCUGAGUGUCUGGGUGGGUUAUUCCCUGGGAAGGUGGGGUGUGGGGGUCUUAUUCCUUAAUUUUCAUCCCAGCUUCACCAUCCCCAAGGGAGGAGGGAUCUUUGUCCUCAUCGAGCUUGAUCACACGUGUCAUGGCUUUAGUGCAUGAAGGGCACUUCUGCUCUGAUAGCUAAUUGUGUUAUAAUGUUAUGAUGCUGAGAGCAUCAUGAGCCAACAGGAUCCAUCUGGACACAGAGAUGCGCCCUCUUCUCGACAUUUCCUUGCACCCAGA